This 226-nucleotide long non-coding RNA is filed under the name Eucalyptus grandis. RNAcentral's name for it is "long non-coding RNA (EGRA_LNC007969)". The record is from RNAcentral. Lineage: Eukaryota; Viridiplantae; Streptophyta; Magnoliopsida; Myrtales; Myrtaceae.
CUUUUCUGCUAGGCGGGUAUUUGUCGAUAAAAAAAAAAAAAAGUGGAGUAAAAUGUAGCGAUUUAUCUAUCGAGUGGGAUGGAAUUGACCAAAAGAUGCUGAAUCAUGGCUUCUAUCUGAUGGUAACUGUUGUCAUGGUAUUGCUGUAAGCUUUGAGACCUGCUCGAUAGUGCCAAGCUUUUGCUUCAUCUGUAUAUGUUCACUAUUUUCAUGUGUAAGAGAACCA